This 77-nucleotide transfer RNA is filed under the name Clostridia bacterium. RNAcentral's name for it is "tRNA-Arg". It matches the Rfam family "tRNA". From Rfam's summary of the family: Transfer RNA (tRNA) molecules are approximately 80 nucleotides in length. Their secondary structure includes four short double-helical elements and three loops (D, anti-codon, and T loops). Further hydrogen bonds mediate the characteristic L-shaped molecular structure. tRNAs have two regions of fundamental functional importance: the anti-codon, which is responsible for specific mRNA codon recognition, and the 3' end, to which the tRNAs corresponding amino acid is attached (by aminoacyl-tRNA synthetases). tRNAs cope with the degeneracy of the genetic code in two manners: having more than one tRNA (with a specific anti-codon) for a particular amino acid; and 'wobble' base-pairing, i.e. permitting non-standard base-pairing at the 3rd anti-codon position. Lineage: Bacteria; Bacillati; Bacillota; Clostridia. The record is from RNAcentral.
GCACCAUUAGCUCAAUUGGAUAGAGCGUUGGUCUACGGAACCAAAGGUUAGGCGUUCGAGCCGCUUAUGGUGCGCCA